Molecule: ribosomal RNA, 433 nt
Filed under: uncultured bacterium
Lineage: Bacteria
Description: partial 16S ribosomal RNA
Rfam family: Bacterial small subunit ribosomal RNA
Source: RNAcentral
AACGAACGCUGGCGGCAUGCCUAACACAUGCAAGUCGAACGGGACGUUCCGGUCUUUGGGCGCAGGGCUGCGUAACACGGGGUAACCUGCCCUUAAGUUCGGAAUAACUCCCCGUAAGGUGUGCUAAUACCGGUGAAUCUCAUCGGACCAAAGAUCUAUGGCCUUGGGAUGGGCCCGCGUUAGAUUAGCUAGUUGGUAGGGUAAAAGCCGGCCAUGGCGAGGUUCCAUAGCUGGUCUGUGAGGAUGAUCUGCCACACUGGCACUGCGACACGGCCCAGACCGCGACGGGAGGGAGCAGAGGGGAGUAUAGUGCGCGGGGCGAAAGCGUGACCCAGCCACGCGGGGGGAGUGAGGAAGGGCUUAGGAUUGUAAAGCUCUUUUAGACGGAAUGAUAAUGACAGUAACGGGAGAAGAAGCACCGGCUAACUCCGUG